CAAACACAGUCGCACACACAUGCUGGCUGUAUACAAAUACGUGCACACGCGUGUAUGUAUGUAGACUCGAAACAUGUUCAAGUUCACCAAUGUCGACAACAGUCUGUUUUCUCUUAAGUAUUGAAGGCCGAGUGGAUCGCUGCGGCCGCUGUUGCCAAAAUUACUCACCUCGGGAAUGCGUUGCAGGGCGCUGUCGAGACUACGGUUGCGAUUAUGUUGCGUGUGAUUGAUGCGUGUGCUGCUUAGCUGAGCAACAGGCGCCAGCAAUAUGCCCAUCGAUCUACAAAGGUUUCGUCAGCAUUUGCGUUGUCAGCAGGUGUACAAGUGCAAUCAAUGCAAAACAAUAUGCGAGCGAGCGAGCACAAACACAAAAAGUACACAAGUCUGCAAACAUAUGAGCACUCACCACACAUCUACAUACCUACAUAUGCAUGUGUAGAUAGGAAUGUUAACGUAAUUACUGUCUUUCUACGAUUUCCUGCGUGCAGUGGAGAGCUAAGCUGAGCAAGUGAAAUUAACAAUGUUUAGAAGGUAAAUAACAAAACACAAAGCAUAAUAAAAAAUUACAAUAAGAGGAAAAAAAAACCACGCAAGAGCCAAUGACGGCGAGAGCAACAGGUGCUCGUAAUACGAAUAGAUA
Long non-coding RNA from Drosophila montana, 640 nucleotides. RefSeq lists it as uncharacterized. The transcript has 2 exons. Lineage: Eukaryota; Metazoa; Arthropoda; Insecta; Diptera; Drosophilidae. The record is from RefSeq and is a predicted model, not a curated record.